GACGAACGCUGGCGGCGUGCCUAAUACAUGCAAGUCGAACGCUCUUUCUUUCACCGGAGCUUGCUCCACCGAAAGAAAAAGAGUGGCGAACGGGUGAGUAACACGUGGGUAACCUGCCCAUCAGAAGGGGAUAACACUUGGAAACAGGUGCUAAUACCGUAUAACACUAUUUUCCGCAUGGAAGAAAGUUGAAAGGCGCUUUUGCGUCACUGAUGGAUGGACCCGCGGUGCAUUAGCUAGUUGGUGAGGUAACGGCUCACCAAGGCAACGAUGCAUAGCCGACCUGAGAGGGUGAUCGGCCACACUGGGACUGAGACACGGCCCAGACUCCUACGGGAGGCAGCAGUAGGGAAUCUUCGGCAAUGGACGAAAGUCUGACCGAGCAACGCCGCGUGAGUGAAGAAGGUUUUCGGAUCGUAAAACUCUGUUGUUAGAGAAGAACAAGGAUGAGAGUAGAACGUUCAUCCCUUGA
RNAcentral lists this ribosomal RNA (472 nucleotides) under Enterococcus casseliflavus. RNAcentral describes it as "bacterial SSU rRNA". It matches the Rfam family "Bacterial small subunit ribosomal RNA", at positions 28 to 472 of the family's 1533-position model. The record is from RNAcentral. Lineage: Bacteria; Bacillati; Bacillota; Bacilli; Lactobacillales; Enterococcaceae.